RNAcentral lists this long non-coding RNA (16490 nucleotides) under Manihot esculenta (cassava). RNAcentral describes it as "long non-coding RNA (MESC_LNC003541)". The record is from RNAcentral. Lineage: Eukaryota; Viridiplantae; Streptophyta; Magnoliopsida; Malpighiales; Euphorbiaceae.
UCUGAAACUAGCUUUGGCGGGCCGAGUUACUCUUGCACAGUCGGCUGUGGCAUUUAUUCCCAUGUAUGCUAUGCAAUCAACGUAUCUCCUUGGUCCGGUGUGUGAUGAAGUAGACAAAUUGUGUAGGACCUUCAUAUGGGGCGGUUCUGAGAAUUCAAGAAAGGUUUCGUUGAUUCCGUGGGAACAGAUCAUUAAGCCCAAGGCGUUGGGAGGGCUUGGCUUCAGGGAUUCCAGGCUCAUGAAUAAGUCCUUCAUGCUCAAGAUCGCCUGGGGGUAUGAUGCAGAAUAACCAGGAUUUAUGGGCACAGGUGCUCAGAUCCAAGUAUAAAGUUGGAGGGCCUAUUGUUCCAGAUAAAAUUGUUGGCAGGCGCUGUUCUAAUUUAGGGCAUGGGGUGAACAACAUAUGGGAGUUCUUUUAAGGAUGGAAUUUGCUGGUCUACAGGGAAUGGUAAAUUAGUCAACUUCUAGAGUGAUUAUGGGAUGGCGACAGGGGAGAGACUUUGUGAUAUUGCUAUAAAGGAAGUUCCAUCUUCAAUGCUUUCUGAAACUAGCGACUAUGUUGAGGCGAGUUCAGGCUGGAGCUGGGACAGAUUCUCCCAGUACCUUCCAACAUCGCUAUUGGUCCUUUUGUGCAGCCUGCCGAUGCUUCUUCCUCAUAUGGAAGACGAUACAUUCAUCUGGAAAACUUCCUCAUCAGGUAGCUUCACCAUUAAGGCAGCUUACUCUUUUCUUGCAAGAUUUCAGGAACAUCACAAUGCUGAUCCUUGGAAACGUAUCUGGAAGUGACAAGGACCGCAAAGAAUAAGAACUUUCCUUUGGCUUGCAGCGCAUGAAAGGCUUCUGACCAAUCAGGAGAGAGUCAGAAGACACUUGGAUACCAACAAUUUGUGCAGAAUAUGCAAUAGGGAAGUAGAAUCCCACCUCCACACUCUGCGUGAUUGCACGGAUAUAAAUAUUUUAUGGCGUCACCUUGUGCCUUUUGUUGAGUUUAAAGAACUGCUGCGUUUUAGUUAGUACGCAGCGUUUUAUUAAUAUACAAUGGGAGAUGUGAUCACGUGUAGGUCACAUGCUCAUGUCGGAAUACAUAAGGAAGCGAAACUUCCAGACAUUGUAACUAUUCUCAUUUUUUACAGAAAUAAAGAUUCAAAUGUUUUCUUCUCUCUCUGUACGCUCUUGUUUGAACAUGGUAUCAGAGCCUUAGGGUUGGCUCACGGCAGCGCGUUGUGUUCUGUAUGAAAAUUCUGCUGAGUAUCCUCGAUAGAUCCGGCGAUGACGGAACGGGGAAAUAGUAGUAAAGAGCAAAAGCAGAGUACGGGGUCCGAAAAGGGGCUAAGCCAGGACAAAGGAAUGGGAGAUCCUCUGAGUCUCCAAUCGUCCGAUCAUCCAGGUAUGACUUUAGUCUCUGCAUCUCUGGUAGGAUCUAACUUCCGAUCUUGGAAUAGGGCUGUUAGGAUAGCCCUGGGUGCCAAGAUGAAGUUAGGGUUUGUCGAAGGAAUAGUUUCGACACCUAGUAAGGAAUCUGAGGAUUAUGAACAAUGGAAGAGAUGUGAUUUCAUGGUCACAUCUUGGAUCUUGAAUUCCAUCUCCAAAGAACUGGUGGAUGGGUUUAUCUACACUGCCUCGGCCAGAGAUCUCUGGCUAGAGAUCAGUGAGAGGUUUGGAGAAUGUAACGGACCCAUGGUUUAUGAGUUACACAGAAAAAUUUCCCUCAUAGCUCAAGAGAACGCUUCUGUCUCAGUUUACUUUACCAAGCUAAAGAGGCUCUGGGACGAGCUUGGCUCGAUGGAAACUCUCCCCAACUGUACGUGUGGGGCGUCCAAAGCCAUUGCUGAGAUAACCAAUCGUAACAAGCUCAUGCAAUUUUUAAUGGGCCUGAAUGAGGUUUUUGGGUCAGUCAGAGACCAAAUCUUGGGAAUGGACCCUUUGCCAACUGUAAAUAAGGCAUACUCCAUGGUUGUUAAAUUUGAAUCACAAAGGGAGGUUCUAGGGGCUAUGAAUGAUAACUCAGAAUCUCUAGUGCUUCUAAAUAAAAGUUACUCACAGAGUCAAACCAGGUCUAGAAAAUUAGACACUAAGAAGGCCCACUGCACCCACUGCAACAUGGAUGGACACACUCGAGAGGGGUGUUUCAAACUCAUUGGGUACCCAGAUUGGUUCAAAUCUAAGAACAAAACUGGAACUCAUCCAGUUAGGGGUUCUAAAGACACCAGAAUGGUGGCUGCAGUCAAGGGAGCUAAAUCUGUAGAGGACAACCCCCUAGAUCACUUUGACACCUCAACUAAAAUCAGUGAACUAACUUCAAUGUUAAGUUCAUUGAAGCAAGAAGUUAAUCAACCGGUGAAAGGGAAAGGAGUAGCAACUCCAAGCACCUCAAUUGAAUCUGAGUAUCAUUUCAUGGAUUUUGCUGGUAAGUCCAAUACUUCUGAAAAUUGUUGUGCUCAAUUAAAUACUGAUGUUACUUGGAUCAUUGACACUGGAGCCACAAAUCACAUGUGCUCGGAUAGACUUUCUUUCACUUCAUUACAUCCUUUACACAAACACAGAACUGUAUGCUUUCCUGAUGGAAACACAACACAAGUGUCUUAUUCUGGAAAAUUGAUUCUCUUUGAUCAAUUAACUUUGGAGGAUGUUCUGUAUGUACCAAAAUUCCAUUACAAUCUGAUAUCUGUUAGUCAACUAAUAAGUAAGUAUGGAUACUGCUUUGUGAUAUGCCAUAACUACUGUAUCAUACAGAACCCACUGAAUAAGAAGGUGGUGGCAAUAGGAAAGAAGCAAAAGGGUCUUUUCAUGCUGGAUCAAAUGAGUUUCUCUCAUACUAAUAUUAGAUAUAGCUUAAAUCAAAUCAUGGAAUAGAAUGUCAAUCUUCAUACUCUUGUAAAUACUAUGAUUGAUUCUAAUAAAGAUGAUUCUAUGCAGUGCAAGAACCUUGAAAAAUGUGCUUUGACCAUGAUUGAUAUGCAUGAUAGAUUAGGACAUGCCUCUGCUAAUAAAAUCUUACAUAUCAAAGGCAUAAAUAUUAGUAAUAGCACUAUGAUUUGCUGUCCUGUUUGCCCUUUAGCCAAACAAGCCAGACUUCCCUUUCCCAAAAGCCAGACUUUGGCUUCCAAACCCUUUGAUUUGAUCCAUAUUGACAUAUGGGGACCAUAUAGGACUAGCUCCAUUACUGGAACUAGAUUCUUUCUUACAAUUGCUGAUGAUUAUAGUAGGGCUGUUUGGACCUUCAUGAUGCAUUUGAAGGGUCAAUCCCUUAGCAUAACUAAACAUUUCAUUAGUAUGGUUGAGACUCAAUUCAACACAACCAUCAAGAUUAUCAGAACAGAUAAUGGAAAAGAGUUUUUGAGUCAUGAUUACAUUGAUUUGCUCACAAAUAAAGGUAUCAUACACCAAAGGGCUUAUCCCUACACACCCCAACAAAAUGGGGUUGUGGAAAGAAAACACAGACACAUCUUAGAAGUUGCUAGAGCCCUAAAAAUUCAAUCCCAUAUCCCUGUGCAAUUCUGGUCAGAAUGCAUUCUGACAGCCACUUACCUCAUCAAUAGAAUGCCAAUGGAGCAAUUCAAUUGGACCACACCUUAUGAAAGGCUCUAUGGAACCUUACCCCAUUAUCACCAUCUCAGGAAAUUUGGAUGCCUAUGCUAUGCCACCACAGUGGGCAGUAGAAAGGACAAAUUCCAAGAAAGGGCCAUUAAGGCUGUUAUGGUAGGAUAUGCCAACACCCAUAAAGCUUAUAAACUAUACAGUAUUGUUGACAAUUGUUUUUUUAUCAGUAGAGAUGUUGUCUUCCAUGAAGACAUUUUCCCCUUCAAACACAAUAAUGAUAGCAGUGAGGGCCCUGUGCUUCCUUUACCUAUAAUAGAGUCUGACUGCCCAAGAACCCGAGCUAAUAACCAAAGCCAUAGUAACACUGAACUUCAAGUCUGUUCUUCACCUAGAAGGACUCAAAGGACUAGACAACCACCCAUUUGGAUGCAGGAUUAUGUAGAUCCUUUACAAACAACAUCUCUGUCCUUCUGCCUUUCAUACAGGUCUUACAUCUGUAAUGUUAACAAGGCUCAUGAGCCUUGCACCUACUCACAGGCUUCCAAGGAUCCUCAAUGGGUUGAGGCCAUGGAGCAAGAGCUUCAAGCCUUAGAAAACAACAAUACUUGGACUCUUACCAGCUUGCCUAAAAACAAAAGGGCUAUAGGCUGUAAAUGGGUAUAUAAAGUGAAGUUCAAGUCUAAUGGGGAAGUGGACAGAUAUAAAACCCGGUUGGUUGCUAAAGGAUAUAACCAAAUUGAGGGGCUGGAUUACAAGGACAGAUUCUCACCCGUGGCAAAACUCACCACAGUGAGAAUUUUUAUUGCCUUGGCAACCGUUAAAAAAUGGCCCAUUUUUCAGCUGGACAUCAAUAAUGCCUUCUUACAUGGGCAUUUGAAUGAAGAGGUAUACAUGGUACCUCCUCAGGGCUAUUACAAGGCCCAACCUGGUCAAGUCUGUCAGCUUAAAAGGUCUUUAUAUGGCCUUAAACAGGCUUCUAGGCAGUGGAACAUUGAAUUUACUACCUUUCUUAAGACUUUGGGUUUUGUGCAGUCUUCUCAUGACCACUGUCUUUUCAUACAGCAUACUGACAUUGUGUUUGUGAUCUUGCUGGUAUAUGUUGAUGAUGUUAUAUUAACUGGGAAUUCUGUAGAUGCUAUUAAUAAAUGCAAGAUGGCCUUACAUUCAAAAUUUACCAUUAAAGAUUUGGGGCCUAUGAAAUAUUUUGUAAUACCCGGCUAGACUCCGGUAUCGGAAUUCCUACCGUCCGGUGGAAUCUCGGAUGUCGGAAACCUCUAGAAGGGUAAAAUCAUGUUUUUAUAAAAUGUUUUAAUGUAUUUUAUGAUUUUAAGCAAAAAGGAAAAUUGAGUUUUAAAUGGAAAAGACCAAGGAGACAUUUCCAAGUUCGGCCGCCGAACCUCAGGUUCGGCCGCCGAACAUUGGAUGGUUUAGGGGGGCAAGUUAGGCUUCCGAAAAUCUCAAAGGUUCGGCCGCCGAACCUCAUGUUCGGCCGCCGAACUUGCAUGAGAUGUGGGGGCACGUUCGGCUGCCGAAAGGUGGUCUGCCAGCCCUAUAUAAGAGCUCCAUGGCCGAAACGGGCGAGUUUUCUCCCCAUUUUCGGCUACGGUGAGUUCAUGCUCUCCUAUGGUUUGUUUUUGUUGUUGUUCCUCCAAUCUUUCAUGUUUUAACAAGCUUUAUGUUGAUUUGAAGAGAUUUGAGCAAAAAGAGCAAGUUUUGGAAACUUGGGGAUCAAAGAGCGGAUCUCUCCCAUCUCCGAGUUGGAUCGUCUCUCCUCUCGUUUCACAAGAGGUAAGAGUAGAUCCAUAGUUCAUUACAUGUUUUAAGUAAGUUUUAUGAGGUUUUAUGGGGUAGAAAUGCAUGUGUAGGUUUAUGUGAAGUUUAUGGGUUUACUGUGCGUUUAUGAACAAUGUAUGUUGGUUAUGCAUGUUUGAUGUGUUGUAGAUGGGGUUUAGGAUAGUUUGAAGCCCCUAGGAGCUUGUAUGCUUGAGUAUGUAUGUUGUAGAAUAGGAAAAGGCAUGAUUGUAUGAGUUGGGAGGCGUUUGUGCAUGUUGGAACCGAGUUUCUGCCCUUUUGAGAAACCAGAUUCGGCCGCCGAACCUGCCUUUGGUAGCAUGUAUCGGCUGCCGAACCCUGCCCCCGAAAGUGGACUUUCGGCUCUGGAAGGGAGUUUCGGCCGCCGAAGGUGCCGCCGAACAUGCAUGAGUUUCGUCUUUGGAGGGAACCUUCGGCCGCCGAAAGUUCUGCCGAAGGUGCAUGAGUUUCGGCUCUGGAGGGCCUUUCGGCCGCCGAACCUGCCGUUGAAAGUGCCCUGUUCAGCCCUCCUUUGCAUGAUUUCCAUGAUUGUUUUAAGGUGUUUUAGGGGGUAUUUCAGAGUCAUGUUUAUGUAUGUUAGGUCCCUCAUUUGAGUCCACUUGUGUAGGUUCGGACCCGAGGAAUCGAGGACCUCAGUAGUGAGAUAGCUGCUUCAGAGUCAUUAGAGCUUCAACCAGAGGUGAGUGGAAUAACUUCUUAUGUUUUAAAAUAGAAUUAAAUCAGUUUUAGCAUGAUUCACGCAUCAUGAAUGCCAUGAGAUAUAAUAGGAUGUUUGCAUUAGAAUUCACGAAUAUGUUGCAUUGCAUAUUAUGUUGAUGAUGUGGAUGAAUGUUGAAUGAUCCUUUAGUCCUCGUAUGGUAUGACUUGAUGUGAUAUGGUAUGGUAUGGAAGUCCAGGUCGAGGCCAAUUCUACGCCCCUGGCACUAUUGGAAUGUGUUGAGGACUAUUGGUGACAAAUUCAUCCUUGAUGUGAUUAAUUGUGAUGUGAUGCAUUCCAUAUUAUCAUGUGGUUUAAUUAUAAUGUUUUAUUAUUCUGCUCACUGGGCUCUAGUAGCUCACCCCUCUCCCUUAACCCCCAGGUUUGCAGGUACAGGGUAGACCAGGAGGUCAACAGGAGUAGAGUCUUUAUGUAUGUAAUAGAUAGUUGUGGACAUGAAUAUAAUGUAACGUAAAAGUAUAGUAUAGAAAUGUUAUAUAAUGAUGUUUAUGGAUGUUAGAGUUGUGCUUGACCAUAGUAUGUUGUAAAUCCCUUUUUAGUACAUGAUCCUAGGUGUGUAAUGAUGCUUAUAUGAACCAAACUCAAUACAUGUUAUGUCACUCCACUGGAGCAUUGAUGAGACUCCAAGGAGGGGUUAAUGUUUAUGAUUAUGUUUAUGUAUAGUGCAUGCACAGGUUGAGUUUGGCGAAUGAAUGAAUGAAUGAAUGAAAAGAAAAGUUCAAAUUUUUAUGUAUGUUGUGGAUCAUGUAUGGGAUUAAGCAGGUUCACAGGAUGUAUGUUAGGCUUGCUACGGGUCCCGGCGGCCUUAAGCCGAUCUGGAUCCUAGCGCAGGUAGCGGUUCGGUUUCCGGGUCGUUACAGAGUGGUAUCAGAGCCCUAGGUUCAUAUGGUCGGACCUAGAGUGUCGGGCUCAUAGAGGUUAUAGAAGGUCAAGCACAAUAGGAAGAUCAUGUCCACUAGGAUAGGAUGUAGAUCCUGUCUUGAAUAAUGAUGUGAAAUGCCAUGAUUAUAUGCAUGUGCAUUAAUGUUAUGCUAUGAUAUGUGAUGUAUGUGAUGAGGGUUCAUGUGUUUGCACAUGAACUAUUUGAUGCUAAUGUUCUAUGUGAUGUGUACUGUUUUUCAGAAAACAGGAUGAGAGGAACUCGUCGAUCUGCAAGAUUAACUGGAGUACCACCCCAGGACGAGGGCACUGAUGCCCGUCCUCCUGCAUUGCCUAGGGCAAUGUCAAGUAGGUCCAGCAGAGAAAGAGCAGUAAGAGACCCUAGAAGGUCUUUGGAUCUGGGUAGAAGCAGAUCAGUGAGGGGAACAGUGCAAGGAGAUAUGUCAGAGGAUGUGGGAGAUCAGAUGGAUGUGGAUCAGAGGAGGGAUGGCAGUCUCGGAGUAAGUAUGUCGGAAGAGGGAAUGAGAGAGUCCUAAGGAGGCACUCAGGCCUCGGGAUUUGUUCAGCCACCUUACUACCCACCCUUUUCACAUAAUCCUGGGUAUUCGAUGGGAGGUACAUCGGAUUUCCCCAGUUUUAACCCUUAUCACUCUCAGAUGCCAUACCCACCUUUCUACCCACAGUACCCCAUGUAUCCACCCCCACCCUACCAUCCAAGUACAGCAAACCCUACCCCAGGGGAUGCUACACCUCCUCCACCACCUGCAGCACCUACUGUCCCAGAAACCCAAAUGCCUAAGCCUAGCUCAUCUGGAGGGAGCAAGGUCAAGAUGACCGAUUACAUGAAGCUGGGUGCUCCCCAGUUUGAAACCGGUGAUGACCCGUUUGUGUACCUUGAGAGGGUCAGGACAAUUACAGAUGAGAUAGAAGCUGAUGACAGUAGAGCCAUUCAGAUGGCUGGAUUCACACUAAAAUGCAAGAAGGCCCGAGAGUGGUUUAAGAAUUAUGUGAACCCGAGGUUGGAUAGUCUAUCCUGGGAGGAGUUUGCAAAUGAGUUUGCAGGAUGGGCUUUCCCUGACAGUUCAAGAGAAUUGAAGAUGAUUGAGUUUGAACAGUUGAGGCAAACAGAUGAGAUGAGUGUGGAUGAGUAUACAGACAGAUUCUUGGAGCUGUUGCCGUUUGCUGGGCAGAAUCUGGAUACAAAUCAGAAGAAGUCAAGGAGGUAUAUCAUGAGGCUCCAUUCCAGGUAUUCCUCCUUGAUUCAGUCAGCAGAGAGGGAGAGUUUCCAUGCCGUAGUGGAUAUGGCUCGGAGGAUGGAGGCUAGUGCAAUCAUCAAGGGGAAAGUCAAGCAGUCAGUGGCACAGCCUUCUGGUUCCAAGACCCCAGGAGGGGGAAGGUUAGACCCUUCUUCUCUGAGCUCAGGCAGUAAGAGAUGGGGUAAAGCCAAGUCUAAGAAGAACAAGUUCUGGAGCAAGAUCAAGUCUGGUCUGGGAUUAGGUAGUGGCUCAAGCUCUGGCGCAGAUAAUGCAGUAUGCAAGAAGUGUGGGAAGCCGCACAAAGGAGUAUGUCUGGUUGGGAUGACAGCCUGCUUCAGAUGUGGGCAGGAGGGACACAUGGCACGGGAGUGUCCAAGAGUAGCUUCUGUGGCACAGUCUCAGCAGACAGCUUCUGAUAGUGUGGUUUAGCCAACAACUCCAGCUGUGACUCAGGCUAGUGGCAGAGGCCGAGGGAGAGGGGCAGCCUCUUCUUCAGCGGGUUUCAGAGGUGAAGGUCCAUCAGCUCCAGCGCGGAUCUUCACAAUGACUCAGCAGGAGGCAAACACAUCCAACACCGUGGUGUCAGGUAAUCUCAUCAUUGGUUGUUCUGAUGUGUAUGCAUUAAUGGACCCUGGUGCAUCUCAUUCUUUCAUUGCUCCGAGGGCCGUCGAGAGGUUGGGAUUGAUGGUCUCUGGGUUAGAAUGUCCCCUAUGGGUCAGUGGACCCAAGUGUGACCCGUCAGUGGCAGAGUCAGUCUGCCAGUAUAGUCCAGUUUUUAUAGAGGGGAGAUGCCUUUCAGCCGACCUUGUGGUUCUAGAUUUGACAGAUUUUGACGUCAUUCUAGGGAUGGAUUGGCUAUCUACCCAUGGUGCUACCUUGGACUGCAGAGACAAGGUAGUCAAGUUCAGAUGUCAGGAUGGGUCAGAGGUUGUCUUCAGAGGAGACAGGGGGAGUACACUUAGAGGUUUGAUAUCAGCCUUUUAGGCUCGUAGGCUACUCAGGAGGGGUUGUCAGGGUUUUCUAGCUCAUGUGAGAGAGCUGGAUAGUCAUGUCAGAGAGCCCGCCUCAGUACCAGUGGUCAGAGAGUUCAUAGAUGUUUUCCCAGACGAGCUGCCAGGUUUACCACCUGCUAGGGAGAUAGAGUUUGAGAUAGAAUUGAUGCCUGGAACCAGACCGAUCUCUAUCCCUCCCUACAGGAUGGCACCAGCAGAAUUGAAGGAGCUUAAAGAGCAGUUGCAAGAGUUGGUAGAUAGAGGAUUCAUCCGACCGAGUACCUCACCUUGGGGUGCUCCAGUGCUAUUUGUGAAAAAGAAGGAUGGAUCUCUCAGACUUUGCAUCGACUACAGGCAGUUGAACAAGGUCACUACCAAGAAUAGAUACCCGUUGCCAAGGAUCGACGAUCUAUUCUACUAGCUAGCAGGAGCAAGUUGUUUCUCCAAAAUAGAUCUGAGAUUGGGGUAUCAUCAGCUGAGGAUAAGAGAAGAGGAUGUGCCGAAGACAGCAUUCAGGACCAGAUAUGGGCACUAUGAGUUCCUUGUAAUGCCGUUCGGGUUAACCAACGCCCCUGCAACAUUCAUGGACCUCAUGAACAGAGUGUUUAGCCAGUACCUGGAUCACUUUGUUAUUGUCUUCAUAGAUGAUAUCUUAGUGUACUCCAGGAAUGCAGAGGAGCAUGCCCAUCAUCUGAGGUUGGUUUUGUAGACCUUGAGGGAACAUGGCUUGUAUGCCAAGUUCUCCAAGUGUGAGUUCUGGCUGAGGAGCAUCUCCUUCUUGGGGCAUGUGGUGUCAGAAAAUGGAAUCGAGGUAGACCCCAAGAAAGUGGAAGUUGUAGCUAACUGGCCUAGACCCACUACAGUGACAGAGAUCAAGAGCUUCUUGGGUUUAGCAGGUUACUACAGGAGGUUCGUCCAAGACUUCUCUAAGAUUGUAGCUCCCAUGACCAGACUGACUAAGAAGAACCAGAGGUUCGUGUGGACCGACCAGUGUGAAGAGAGCUUUGAGGAGCUUAAGAAGAGGUUGACUUCAGCACCAGUGUUAGCUCUGCCAUCGAGUAAUGAAGACUUCUCAGUCUAUUGUGAUGCGUCCCGUGUGGGGCUGGGUUGUGUGCUAAUGCAGAAUGAAAGGGUGAUUGCUUAUGCUUCUAGGCAGCUAAAGAAGCACGAGUUGAAUUACCCUACACAUGACCUAGAGAUGGCAGCGGUAAUCUUUGCACUCAAGAUGUGGAGACACUACCUUUAUGGGUUAAAUGUGAGAUCUUCACAGAUCAUAAAAGCCUGCAAUAUAUCUUGAGUCAGAGGGAGCUGAAUAUGAGGCAGAGAAGAUGGGUAGAAUUGCUUAGUGACUAUGAUUGCAAGAUUCAGUACCAUUCGGGUAAGGCAAAUGUUGUGGCAGACGCCUUAAGCCGGAAAUCACUUGGCAGUUUGUCCCAUAUUUCAGCAGAGAGAAGGCCAGUAGUGAGGGAGUUCUUCGAGCUCAUCAGUGAAGGUCUACAGUUGGAGUUGUCUGGUACAGGUGCUUUGUUAGCCCAGAUGAGAGUGGCACCCGUGUUUCUGGAGCAGGUGGCUCAGAAACAGCACGAGGACCCAGAGUUAGUGAAGAUUGUCAGGACUGUUCAGUCAGGCAAAGAUAGUGAGUUCAGAUUCGACAGCAAGGGGAUCCUCUGCUGUGGGAGCAGAUUAUGUGUACCAUAUGACGUAGGGCUAAAGGGAAACAUUAUGAGAGAGGCUCAUAAUGCCAGAUAGAGUGUUCACCCCGGAGCCACCAAGAUGUAUCAAGAUCUCAAGAGAGUGUAUUGGUGGCCAGCUAUGAAGAGGGAAGUGGCACAGUUUGUGUCAGCCUGCGAAAUAUGUCAGAGGGUGAAGCUGGAACAUCAGAAGCCGGCUGGAAUGCUUAACCCACUACCUAUUCCAGAGUGGAAAUGGGAGAAUAUAGCUAUGGACUUCGUGGUGGGGUUACCGGCAGUGUCCAACAGAUUGGACUCCAUAUGGGUGAUUGUGGACAGACUCACCAAAUCUGCUCACUUCAUCCCUGUCAGGAGUGGCUAUUCUGUGGACAAGUUGGCGCAGGUGUAUGUUGAUGAGGUUGUCAGGCUGCAUGGGGUUCCUGUUUCAAUAGUGUCUGAUCGAGGGCCCCAGUUCACCUCCAGGUUUUGGCGGAGUCUGCAGAACGCUAUGGGUACCAGGUUAGAUUUUAGCAAUGCUUUCCAUCCACAGACGGACGGACAAUCAGAGAGGACCAUCCAGACAAUAGAGGAUAUGCUCAGAAUGUGUGUGCUGAAUUUUGGCGGUUCUUGGAGGCAGCAUCUACCUUUGGUGGAGUUUGCCUACAAUACCAGCCAUCAUGCUAGCAUCGGGAUGGCUCCAUAUGAAGCUUUAUAUGGAAGGAAGUGCAGAUCACUUGUUUGCUGGGAAGAAGUUGGGGAAAGGGCCUUGGCAGGGCCUGAGCUUGUAGAGAUCACCAGCAGGGUGGUGCCCAUAAUCAAAGAAAGGAUCAAGACUGCUUCAAGCAGACAAAAGAGUUAUGCAGAUGUCCGUAGAAGACAAGUGGAGUUUCAGGAGGGGGAUUUGGUAUUGCUCAAAGUGUCUCCAAUGAAAGGGGUGAUUCGGUUUGGGAAGAAAGGUAAGCUAGCCCCACGGUACAUUGGACCCUUUGAAGUCUUGCAAAAGAUUGGGAAUGUAUCGUACAAGCUGGACUUGCCUGCUUCAAUGGAAAGAAUCCACCCGGUUUUCCAUGUUUCUAUGUUGAGAAAGUUCGUGUCGGAUCCAGGCAAGGUUCUUAGUGAGCCUGAUGUGGAGAUCCAAGGAAAUCCCGAUGGUAAAAGUCCUUUGGAAUCACCACAACAUCGAAGAGUGUACUUAGGAGACACGGGAGUCCAUGCUCCGGCAAUAUCCUCAUCUCUUCUAAGGUGAGUUUUAUGUGCUUUGUAUGAAUGUUUAUGUUUUAUGCUAUGCAUGUGUUGUUUGGUGAACAUUCGGGGACGAAUGUUCUUAAGGGGGGGAGAAUGUAAUACCCGGCUAGACUCCGGUAUCGGAAUUCCUACCGUCCGGUGGAAUCUCGGAUGUCGAAAACCUCUAGAAGGGUAAAAUCAUGUUUUUAUAAAAUGUUUUAAUGUAUUUUAUGGUUUUAAGUAAAAAGGAAAAUUGAGUUUUAAAUGGAAAAGACCAAGGAGACAUUUCCAGGUUCGGCCGCCGAACAUUUGAUGGUUUAGAGGGACAAGUUAGGCUUCCGAAAAUCUCAAAAGUUCAGCCGCCAAACUUGCAUGAGAUGUGGGAGCAGGUUCGGCUGCCGAAAGGUGGUCUGCCAGCCCUAUAUAAGAGCUCCAUGGCCGAAACGGGCGAGUUUUCUCCCCAUUUUCGGCCACGGUGAGUUCAUGCUCUCCUAUGAUUUGUUUUUGUUGUUGUUCCUCCGAUCUUUCAUGUUUUAACAAGCUUUAUGUUGAUUUGAAGAGAUUUGAGCAAAAAGAGCAAGUUUUGGAAACUUGGGGAUCAAAGAGCGGAUCUCUCCCAUCUCCGAGUUGGAUCGUCUCUCCUCUCGUUUCACAAGAGGUAAGAGUAGAUCCAUAGUUCAUUACAUGUUUUAAGUAAGUUUUAUGAGGUUUUAUGGGGUAGAAAUGCAUGUGUAGGUUUAUGUGAAGUUUAUGGGUUUACUGUGCGUUUAUGAACAAUGUAUGUUGGUUAUGCAUGUUUGAUGUGUUGUAGAUGGGGUUUAGGAUAGUUUGAAGCCCCUAGGAGCUUGUAUGCUUGAGUAUGUAUGUUGUAGAAUAGGAAAAGGCAUGAUUGUAUGAGUUGGGAGGCGUUUGUGCAUAUUGGAACCGAGUUUCUGCCCUUUGGGAGAAACCAGGUUCGGCAGCCGAAGGCUCUUUCGGCCGCCGAACCUGCCUUUGGUAGCAUGUAUCGGCUGCCGAACCCUGCCCCUGAAAGUGGACUUUCGGCUUUGGAAGGGAGUUUCGGCCGCCGAAGGUGCCGCCGAACAUGCAUGAGUUUCGUCUCUGGAGGGAACCUUCGGCCGCCGAAAGUGCCACUGAAGGUGCAUGAGUUUCGGCUCUGAAGGGCCUUUCGGCCGCCGAACUUGCCGCCGAAAGUGCCCUGUUCAGCCCUCCUUUGCAUGAUUUCCAUGAUUGUUUUAAGGUGUUUUAGGGGGUUUUUGGGGGGGUAUUUCAAAGUCAUGUUUAUGUAUGUUAGGUCCCUCAUUUGAGUCCACCUGUGUAGGUUCGGACCCGAGGAACCGAGGACCUCAGCAGUGAGAUAGCUGCUUCAGAGUCAUUAGAGCUUCAACCAGAGGUGAGUGGAAUAACUUCUUAUGUUUUAAAAUAGAAUUAAAUCAUUUUUAGCAUGAUUCACGCAUCAUGAAUGCCAUGAGAUAUAAUAGGAUGUUUGCAUUAGAAUUCACGAAUAUGUUGCAUUGCAUAUUAUGUUGAUGAUGUGGAUGAAUGUUGAAUGAUCCUUUAGUCCUCGUAUGGUAUGACUUGAUGUGAUAAGGUAUGGUAUGGAAGUCCAGGUCGAGGCCCAUUCUACGCCCCUGGCACUAUAGCAAGAGAAAGACCAGGUCGAGACCCAUUCUACGCCCCUGGCAUUAUUGGAAUGUUAUGUUAUGUAUGUUAUGAUAAGAGAAAAACCAGGUCGAGGCCCAUUCUACGCCCCUGGCACUAUUGGAAUGUGUUGAGGACUAUUGGUGACAAAUUCAUCCUUGAUGUGAUUAAUUGUGAUGUGAUGCAUUCCAUAUUAUCAUGUGGUUUAAUUAUAAUAUUUUAUUAUUCUGCUCACUGAGCUCUAGUAGCUCACCCCUCUCCCUUAACCCCCAGGUUUGCAGGUACAGGGUAGACCAGGAGGUCAGCAGGAGUAGAGUCUUUAUGUAUGUGAUAGAUAGUUGUGGACAUGAAUAUGAUGUAACGUAAAAGUAUAGCAUAGAAAUGUUAUGUAAUGAUGUUUAUGGAUAUUAGAGUUGUGCUUGACCAUAGUAUGUUGUAAAUCCCUUUUUAGUACAUGAUCCUAGGUGUGUAAUGAUGCUUAUAUGAACCAAACUCAAUACAUGUUAUGUCACCCCACUGGAGCAUUGAUGAGACUCCAAGGAGGGGUUAAUGUUUAUGAUUAUGUUUAUGUAUAGUGCAUGCACAGGUUGAGUUUGGCGAAUGAAUGAAUGAAUGAAUGAAAAGAAAAGUUCAAAUUUUUAUGUAUGUUGUGGAUCAUGUAUGGGAUUAAGCAGGUUCACAGGAUGUAUGUUAGGCUUGCUACGGGUCCCGGCGGCCUUAAGCCGAUCUGGAUCCUAGCGCCGGUAGCGGUCCGGUUUCCGGGUCGUUACAUAUUUCCUAGGGCUGAAAGUUGCAAGAUCUUCUCAUGCAACAAUUAUCAGCCAAACAAAGUUCAUUUGUGAUGUUCUCAAAGAUGCAUGCAUGCUUCAAUGCAAACUUGCAUCUUGCCCCUUGCCUCAAGGGUUACAUCUGACCCCUGACUCAGGGGAGCCUCUUUCUGAUCCUGACAUGUAUAGAAGGUUACUUGGUAGACUCCUUUACAUUAACUUAACAAGGCCAGACAUUUGCUAUGCUAUCCAACAUCUAAGUCAAUUUAUGAAUAAGCCUCGAAAGCCCCAUUAGGAGGCUGCUCUUCAUGUCCUUCGCUACCUUAAGGGAUCCUUACACCAGGGUCUUUAUUUUCUUGUGACUGAUGAUCUGUCUCUUAGUGCCUAUUGUGAUUCUGACUGGGCAGCUUGCACUUACUCUCGCAAGUCUCUAUCUGGGUAUUGUAUAUAUCUGGGACCUUGUCUCAUCUCCUGGAAAACAAAGAAACAGACUACUGUUUCCAAGUCUUCCGCUGAAGCUGAAUACCGUGCCAUGGCUAACACUGUGUGUGAACUUCUUUGGAUUAGUUACAUUUUGCAGGACUUGCAGGUACUCAUUAAAUUGCCCAUACCUCUACAUUGUGACAGCAAAACAGCCAUGUACAUUGCUGCCAAUCCAGUAUUCCAUGAGCGCACGAAGCAUAUCGAGAUUGACUGCCAUCUUGUGCGAAACCAACUUCAACAGGGCUUUAUUUCUCCUAGAUAUCUUCCUACCCAAGAGCAAUUGGCAGAUAUCUUCACUAAGGGACUCCCAGCAAGCCGUCAUAACUAUCUGGCACACAAGUUGAAUCUUUUGCCCCUCCCGGCUUCAACUUGAGGAGGGGGUGUUGAGUUUAAAGAACUGCUGUGUUUUAGCUAGUACGCAUCAUUUUAUUAAUAUACAAUGGGAGAUGUGAUCACGUGUAGGUCACAUGCUCAUGUCGGAAUAUAUAAGGAAGCGAAACUUCCAGACAUUGUAACUAUUCUCAUUUUUUACAGAAAUAAAGAUUCAAAUGUUUUCUUCUCUCUCUGUACGCUCCUGUUUGAACACCUUUUGAUGCAGGUAGCUGAUUUUUUUUCACAGCCACUAGUGUAAGAGACUGGCUAGGUAGGAACAUUCAAGAGACACGGCAGAGCAAGCAUGGUGUCAAUUGGCCUUUGCUCUUUGGCGUUGCUUGCUGGAGGAUUUGGAGCAUGAGAAAUGAUAUAAUCUUCCAAGGGAUGACACGGGAUCUACAUGCCCGCAGUGCAAAGGAGUUCUUUUUUGUUGUAAGCAAAAUCGCAGGCCCAAAGCUUAUAAUCACUGAGAAUUGGUGUGCGCCUAAUGACAACUUUCAAAAGCUAAAUGUUGACGGGUCCUGGAGGAGUCUAGAUAGAAAGGCUUUCGGUGGAGGCGUCUUCAGAAACUCGAAUGGAAAUUGGAUAACAGGUUUCACAGUUGCUUUUGGCAAUUCCACAACUCUCGGAGCAGAAAUUAGGACUAUUUUCGAACGGAUCAAGUUUGUGAAAAGGGCCUCUAACGAGAACAUUAUCAUUGAAUCAGAUUGCAAGGAAGUUUUAGAGACUAUAGGUGGCAGAUUACCUCCACCUAAGGAUUUGCAUCAUCUAGUCCAAGCUAUCCGUUCUGAACUGCUUACUGAGCAAGUCAUCGUACUUCAGCACGCGAUGAGGGAGACCAACCAGGUUGCAAAGUGACUGGCAAAGCUGGCACAUCACAAUGGUGUAGAUUUUCAAAUUAUGGAUCACCCGCUUCAAGGGUUGCAGCAUCUUUUAGCUCAGGACUCUUCCCUAACUCCUCAACUCUCUUAUUAUGUUAAGGACACCCUGAUAACCAAUUAAAAAAAAAGCAUAUGCCAAGAAUACAUUUAGAGCAUCCGAAAACAGUAAAAACGACGAUAAAAGAACUACUAUGUUCUACUUCAUUCAUGUCAACAAAUGAACAAAAAUUCUAAAUUUAUAUUUAUUAAUUUUAU